RNAcentral lists this ribosomal RNA (248 nucleotides) under Klebsiella pneumoniae. RNAcentral describes it as "partial 16S ribosomal RNA". It matches the Rfam family "Bacterial small subunit ribosomal RNA", at positions 1066 to 1314 of the family's 1533-position model. The record is from RNAcentral. Lineage: Bacteria; Pseudomonadati; Pseudomonadota; Gammaproteobacteria; Enterobacterales; Enterobacteriaceae.
AGUGAAAUGUUGGGAUAACUCACGCAACGUGAGCAACCCUUAACCUUUGUUGCCAGCGGGUCGGCCGGGAAAUCAAAGGAGACUGCCCGUGAUAAACUGGAGGCAGGUGGGGAUGACGUCAAGUCAACAUGGCCAUUACGACCAGGGCUACACACUUGCUCCAAUUGCAGAUACAAAGAUACGCGACCUCGCGAGAGCAAGCGGACAUCAUAAAAUAUGUCUAAGUCCGGAUUGGAGUCUGCAACUCG